GGUGUUCGGUUUUACUCCUCCUCCCAAAAACCGAACCUGAGCGCGGCACUCCUCCUCCCAGUCGCGCUUAUCAGAUCAGCCCGCUGCAUACUCCUCCUCCCAGUGCAGCGGGCGUUCU
RNAcentral lists this small RNA (118 nucleotides) under Brucella sp. 191011898. RNAcentral describes it as "ar14". It matches the Rfam family "Alphaproteobacterial ar14". From Rfam's summary of the family: Smr14C2 was renamed NfeR1 (Nodule Formation Efficiency RNA) highly expressed in salt stress and during the symbiotic interaction on legume roots. Lineage: Bacteria; Pseudomonadati; Pseudomonadota; Alphaproteobacteria; Hyphomicrobiales; Brucellaceae. The record is from RNAcentral.